GUAGGUGGCAAGCGUUGUCCGGAAUUAUUGGGGCGUAAAGCGCGCGCAGGCGGUUCUUUAAGUCUGAUGUGAAAGCCCACGGGCUCAACCGUGGAGGGUCAUUGGAAACUGGAGAACUUGAGUACAGAAGAGGAAAGCGGAAUUCCACGUGUAGCGGUGAAAUGCGUAGAGAUGUGGAGGAACACCAGUGGCGAAGGCGGCUUUCUGGUCUGUAACUGACGCUGAGGCGCGAAAGCGUGGGGAGCAAACAGGAUUAGAUACCCUGGUAGUCCACGCCGUAAACGAUGAGUGCUAAGUGUUAGGGGGGUUUCCGCCCCUUAGUGCUGCAGCUAACGCAUUAAGCACUCCGCCUGGGGAGUACGGCCGCAAAGGCUG
Molecule: ribosomal RNA, 375 nt
Filed under: uncultured organism
Description: partial 16S ribosomal RNA
Rfam family: Bacterial small subunit ribosomal RNA
Source: RNAcentral